Brassica rapa (field mustard) is the source of this 4971-nucleotide long non-coding RNA. RefSeq lists it as uncharacterized. The record is from RefSeq and is a predicted model, not a curated record. Lineage: Eukaryota; Viridiplantae; Streptophyta; Magnoliopsida; Brassicales; Brassicaceae.
AUUUUAUUCGUUAAUAUUGUUGUAAUAUGUUUAUAUAUGUGUAGAUAUUUACAAAAGUUUUAUGAAUUCAAAAUAGUUAUGAUAAAUAUAAGGACCAUAUAAUAAAAUACAAAUAGUUUUGAAAUUGAAUUUGAAGUUUUGUUUUUGAAAGAAAAAAUAAUUUUAAACUUCAAAUACAGAGUUUUAGAAACUUCAAAAUAGAGUUUUUUUUAGAGAUGCUCUAAACAAACUAACAAACAACAUGAUUGAGCUGCAUGUCGGACCAACUGCAGAGCAACAAUAUCUAUUUAUUACUAUCGUCAACAACAAUGUCAUUUGCUUUAUAUUCAACGGUUUGCAUUUUGUUAAUUCACUAGUUUCUUUUGACUUAAUGACUUUCAUCGACUUUCAAGCAUCUUUUGUAUUAUUGCAAUAUAUAUCCCAAAGAGAAUCGAUCUAUCCUCAUAUCCCUUAUAGUCGGUUAUAUGAUUAAUGAAAACGAAUGAGAUUCCCAUAUUACUAAACCGUCCCUGAGCUAAAUUUCAACAAAUAAAAGCUUUAAACACCAAAAAACUAAUAAAAAUUUUAAACAUCUAAUUGCUUUAUGAAACAUCUAAUUUCGUAAAGCAAAAGUUUUAAAAAUUUUAAACAUCUAAUUAUAUAAAAAGAUGUUGCUUCUCUCAUGUGAUGCCACCUAGGAUCCAGCUAGAAAAAUCUGUUCUUAUAAGCGUGACACGUGUCACAUCUUCUUAUAAGCGGAUCGUUUCAUUAAGUCAGGUAUAUUGGACUUCUCUUGAUUAUCUGCUAGACUUAUACGAUUAUAUUAUGUGUGGGCUUUGUUUAAUGUGUUAUGGGCUUAGUAAAAAACAAAAGCGUGGCCAGUUUUCGCCGUCACCUUCUUCCAGAAUUUAGGGAUCAUCAACUCCUCCAAAAUCUGAUUACGGUUCUAACAAUGGAGGUACUGAGAGGUCGUGUGAGAGGAGACUUCGUGAGUACUCUAUGUGUCGAUGUCUGAUCGUGUCGUUACGUUAUCGAUUCUUCACCACAGAACCGUUACAAGUUGCUUUGAUUCAACGUCAUUAAUUAUUUCCUACCCACUACAGCCAGGAUCUCUAUUCAAUGAAUCCUAAUCUUCUUCCAUACGGUGAUUCUCCACCUAUAUAAGGGUCAGGUUUUGGGAAGCAAGAAACGUGGUGAGGAGUACAGUCUCCGCCUAGACGCUAAUGUUGUCCAUUCUUUAAACUCAUGAGUCAUGCUCAUCGUAGUUGUAAAAUAUAAUCCUGCACAUGAUCUCAAAAUUUCCAGCUUUUUCAAUCCAAACAUUUAUUUCAUUCUUUGCGAGAUAGUUUCAAUACUUUUUGUUGAUGAGGUUUUAUUCUCUACACGUGUUUCAGGCGAUUAUACGACGGCAAGCUGGGAAGCUGUGUGUUCUUUUGUAGACGCCGUCAAUGGUAGGGAUUCAGAGAGACUGUCGUGAAAUAUAGUUCUAUUGAAAACAUGAGAAAUAUCAAAUUAAGGAGUUCAGACAACAGUGUAGACACAAUGGAACGUCAAUUUCUUUAUUUUUUUUCUGUGAUUAUGAAUUGAUGGCUAUUGCUUGAAUGUAAUUAGAGUUUAAUAUAUGUCACAUUCAGUCUUUGAUUUGUAUUUGGGUUCUUGUUGGUUCUGUUUCUUCCUUGGCCAGAACAAAGUGAUGUAGGUUGCUCUUGGUCGUUCCUCUUCUGAUGAAAUCCAUCAUGCCAACUUCAAAUCUUCCAAGGUUGUGUUACUCUGCUUCUUACAUUUUUUUUGUGGUCUAAAGCUUCUUACAAUAUUUGUUUUAUAUUACUUGGUAUUUUACAUAUUUUUUUGGAAUAUUAUUUCAUCUGCGACAUGGUGAUGAUGGACUGCUUAUUAUUGAUAUGCCAAAGGAAGAGGUUGAAAGAUGGAACAACAACUAAGAUAAUAAGAAGAAGAGAGUAAAGGGAUGAUGAGGAAACACAAGUCUUUUGCAGAGCUAUAAUGAGAUUUGUCAGAUGGAGAGACCAAAAAGAAUAAAGUUCAUGUACAUGGCUAACUAUCAGACUUGAGAACUCUGUGUUCUUUACUUCUUCUAUACAAAAAUCCAUCAUUUCCUGUGGCAUGUUACAAUAUAAACCCAGUAUGAGUUUCACCACGAGUGUUGUGAAGUGCUUGAACAGGAGAACAAAAGAUUAGCGUGAAGUAGGAAUCUAUCAUGCAUCUGACCCAACUCUCCUCCUUAAUUUACCCUAGGUCUCUGUACUUCUCCAACCUAUCUUAAUUUACCCUAGGUCUCUGUACUUCUCCAACCUACAUAACCCACCCACGAUCUCACCUCUGGUAAUCACACCUUUCAUUCUAUUCGUUUCCAUUAUAUCGUGUUAGCCAUUAAUAAAUUUCAAAUUUUGAACACUGCAAAUCAUAAAUACUUACCAUUAAAAAAUCAGAAAGCCAUUGGUCAUACUUUUUUUUGUCAUCUAUGAAUUGCAUUUAACGAAAGUUGAGGUACAACAAGGAUGAUCCUAGACAUGUAUGCACUUUACCAAAAUCAGAUUAACCAACAUCAUAAGCUGAUUUGUCCAGCUAUGACAAGGGUCCAAAUCUUAAGAAACUAUAAAGGAUCCUGAUCACUCCAACUAUGAAGGCAAGCAAAAUAUAUUUUAUCAUAUAUAAUCUAUGUUCACCUAGAAUUUUCGAAAAGAUAAAAAUCAUUAUCAUAUACAUUUUUUUUUGGAAGAAACCAAAGACACAAACCAACAAAUCAUACAACAAAAUAAUAACUUAGAAUACAGGUAAAGUAUAUCCCGCCCGUAGGGCGGGCCGACCCUAGUCUAUUUAUAAAAAUGAGUUCAAGUUUUUUCUCCUAGAGAGAGUGCGAAUCCUUCUUCGUCCAAAAUGUUCUAUUUUAAAUUUUUGCUUUAGGCUCCACAUAAGAGUAGGCCGGGCUGCUUACAUUAUUCGUUUUUGAAAAAUACAUAUUAGGAUAUAUGUGUAUGUCUUGGACUUUGGUAUGUAUUUCUGAAAAUGGCUAUCUAGCCUAUCUUACUAUUUCUUACAAUUAUUAAACGGUUUUCUGUAUAUUGAUUUUUUUAUGAACUAUAUGAUACACAUCUGGAUUCGGAUGAUGAUCUAAGACCAUCUUCAUUGGUUAACUCUAUUUCUCAAAAUAUAUAAUUCUAUAAAAGAAUUGAAUUCUACUCCUGGAAAAGCUAGAUUAUAGAGUGCGAGUGCACAUGCACCCAUAACUAUUUACAUUAAGAAUUUUUUUAAUAGAAGAUAUAAGGUAAAAGUGCACCCACAAUUUCAGAAGAACCUGAGUUCAAUGAUCCUAUUUUUAAACUUAUACACCAUUAUAUUCAAUAAUUAUAUGAUUCAUGUUAGUCAUGUGCAUCCAGUAAAAAAAUAUUUAUACUCCAAUAAUAUUCUAUUUUAGAGUGAAAAAUAAAAUAUAAAUAAAAAAUAAACAUUUUACUCCAUUUAAGACAUUUUCAAUAAAACUCUAUUUUCUCUUUUAUAUUUUCCUCUAAAAUAGAGUUAUUUCUAUUUUAGAAGAAAAUAUAAAGGAGAAAAUAAAGUUUCAUUGGAGAUGUUUUCUAAAGUAAACCUAUUUUUUACAUUAUUAUAGAAUAAAAUAUAGAGUUGGAUUGAUUUUUUUUAUUCUAAACUUUAUAUUAAAGUAAGAAACAAGGGUUUGAUCUGCACUUUCAAAGCUUGAAAUGGAUAUAUUUCCUUGAUUAGUUUUCUUUUUUUUGUUUUUUGAUAUAGUAUAUGUUAAUAAUUUGUGUUUUUAACUGUUCAAACGAGUGGAAGUUCCCUUAGUCCAAUGGUUUGGCUAAGGUUCAUUAAUGCUUUUUUUUUUAAUAUAAAUAUUUAUUAAUCUAUCGGAGAAUCGGGAAUUUCAGAUCCAGUUACAAACCCGUUUCAUUAAUGCUUUUACACCUUCAAUUCUCGAAGAAAAUGAUUUAUUAAACAAUUAUGUAGGCUACGGAGGAAAGACUUACAAGAGAUUUUCAACAUGGUGCAAGUAAACUCGGUCAGGCGUGAUCUUCGUAGUACGGCUCGGGUGAUGCAGUUAAGUGUAGAUUCUUAUAAGGCAUGUUGUAUUAUCGGUGGUCUUAUCGUCUAUAUAAUAUUUCUCAUAAUUGUAAUAUUAUAAUAAAUCAGCAUUAAAAAAACUGUUCAAACUAAUCUUAUUAUUUUCUAAUCCGUGUUUUCCAAAUUUUAUUUUUUCAGAAGUUUAAUUCUAUUAAAAAUUAAUUUGUUUGUAUAUAUAAUAACUUGCUGAUUUAUUUAUCAUAUAGGCAAUUCAAUACCUAACAUAUUUUUCGUAAUGGGUCUCAAUAAAAACAAACAUCCUUCUAUUGUGUGACCUUUAUUGUUUCCAAAAAGUUCACUCGGUUUAUAGGUUGUUAGACGUGUAGAGCGUCAAAAUAAAUUACCUUAGAUCUUAUAAUUAGUGUGUUUUACAUUUGUCACAAAAUGUUCAAUUUGUCCAAAUUUAGAACAUGUCCAACUAAGUUUCAAAUAGGACAUAUGGGAUUGGAGCUGCUUUAAUGGCUCUAUUGACACAAGCAGCUAUAUUACAUCUCCUAGUAUGCUAACCAACUAUAUUUCUCUUUUACAAUAAAAAGAUACAGUUAAAGCACAUUACACUAAAUGAUUAUAAUAUAAUAACAAUGUAGUACAACGUAAACAUAUGGUAUAUAUUUAUUAAAAAAAAUUGGAUUUGUUAUCUAAGUUGUGCUUAUAUAUAUCUAAUUAAACUAGAGUCCAUUAAUUGCAAUAAUCUUUUUUGUCCGAUUCUUUUUUGUCUGCAAUUAAACGCAAUAUCUUGGAUUUAGGAUGGCCGAAGACAUUUCUACGAAUUAAGGUGGCGCUUUUUCUUAAUACUAUUGGACGAAAACAUAUAAUUUGUUACGUGUCAAAAGAAUUGUGUCUCACGGAAUAAUUUAUUGAAAACGUGCACAGUUUGACCAAUAUUAAGUGCAUACU